CAGCUGAAAAGCAUGGUGCCACCAAUCCUUGCACUUCAAGUUCCCGUUUGCCUCAUUGGGAGUCCAGCCAACUUGCUGUCUGUUGUUUAGUGUGGGCGAGGAGAUGGGAGGAAAGAACUGGGUGAUGGGAGGGUAGGAGGACAAAGAGACACUGUGGGGAGUGGAAAUUUCAUUGAAGGGGGCGAAGGAGGGGAGAGUGAGAAACAAGACUCUUGAUGGGGGAAAAAUGCAGCUUCAGAGGUCUCUUGGAGAAGUCCCUGAAGAUGAUCAAAAGAUAUACAACAGGAAGGAGGAGGAAGAGAAAAGAAGAACAGCAAUAUGAGAAACCAGGAGAAGAAAACACAGUGACCACAACAAUGUGAAAGAAAACAACAUUCAAAGAUAUAGGCCUCUUGUAUGUAUAUGCAGUGGUUGAUCACAACUUAGAAGAUGGAUCAUAAAUCAGGCUUCUUAUCUUUUGGCAGACAUAGAGUCCCCUGAGACUCAUUCAUCCUAGGGCUUCUCUUUAUACUAUCUCACUUGGUGAGCUCAUUACUUCCU
Molecule: long non-coding RNA, 540 nt
Filed under: Monodelphis domestica (gray short-tailed opossum)
Lineage: Eukaryota; Metazoa; Chordata; Mammalia; Didelphimorphia; Didelphidae
Description: lncRNA (ENSMODG00000031999.2)
Source: RNAcentral